UGAGAACUAAAAUUCGACAGUUGUUGA
RNAcentral lists this small RNA (27 nucleotides) under Bombyx mori (domestic silkworm). RNAcentral's name for it is "ovarian small RNA-32115". Lineage: Eukaryota; Metazoa; Arthropoda; Insecta; Lepidoptera; Bombycidae. The record is from RNAcentral.